GCCCCUUUAAGAACCCCUGUGAGGGCCAUUGUGGCAGUUGGAGCCUGGUGGAAGGACCAGGUGGCAGGGAUUCAUCAGCAUCAUAGCAGAGGACUUUAAUUCACCCCUGUCAGGAGGGAAAGUCAUCAAGGAAUCCAGAAACAAUGAUUUCCUCCCAGAGACAGAAGAACAGCUUAAGAUGGCACCACGUGGAGCAUCUAGCUAACAGCCUAUUGGAAGCAUAUGCAACACUGCUAUGUCAUCAGUCCAUGAUCCUGGCCAUAAACUCCAGCUCUGUGGAUCCCUUACAACAAUACGACACCCAGUUGGAGAUCAUAAAAUCAUCUUUUAAAAUGAUAUUUGGCCUACCGAGUUUUGACGAAGGAACAGUUCGGACCAGUGGUGAGGAUGCCGAGGAACUGGAGAUUUUAUAUAAAAAUAUUUUAAGUCUGCUCGAGGACACUCUUCUGAUCUUAGUAUCUAAAGACCUCUACAAACUGCAGAUCUUAAAGGAAAUGAUGGUGUGGAUGAGAGAAGACAAUUUGUACCUGCAAGAGAAACCACUGGUGAUCAUCAGCAAGGUGUUAAGAUUUGCAUCCAGGAAAGUCAGGGAACAUACAAGUAUUGAUGCUCCAUGUUUAGGUGUCCUGGCAGCAGAGCUGUCUCUUUUAUAUUCCCACGCGGAUCUCACCAUCGUACAACAAGCUUCCCUGGCAGUAUAUUACCUCCUCAGCAUUGCAAAACGUCAGAUGGCAGACUUCCAAAAAUAUAAAGCUAAGAUGCAGUAUGAGUGUGGAAAUUCCUGCCUCCUGCCUCCUGAUUCUGAAUUCCGACCCGGGAUCUUGAAACAAGACAAAACUAAACUCGCUCAGAGCAUAGGACAAACCUUACUGCCCUCCCUGCUGACUGACUUUGUGUUGUAUCUCCUGACGAAACUCUCCACAUCUAAUCAAGAAACCACAACCAAAGCAGCAGCCAUACUGAAACUGACUCUGAAAUAUCACGCCCAGAAGAUCACCAGGGUGUCUCAGCUGGUGGACACUAUUUAUAAGCAACUGAAUGAAAAUCCUUCUUACUUUAUAAAGGAUGUCUUGUUGGAGGUUGCCACCUUGUUGACACAAUCGUCGCCCAAAGCUGUCAUCUUUCAGCUCUUGGACUACCCAGUCCCAGCGGACAAAGCUGUGAUGCUGAUGUGGCAGGCAGUGGGCACCAAGCCACAAGUCGCCCCGCAGGUGCUGAAGGCAAUCCUCUUGGUGCUGAAGGACAAGCCUUGGGAGGUGGAGGACAGCCUGCAGGAAGGGAAAUGCUUCAUCUUGGAUGCCACCAACAUGAUGCCUCUGGCGGCAUCCCAGGCCCUGUGCGUGCUUUUGCCUAUAAAUUCCUAUAACAAAACAGUGGCCCAGUUUUUUCCUGAGCUCUUCAUGGCCCUCAUGUUUCAACUCCUCUACAUCAGUCAGCUGAGAGUGCAGACCCAGGACAGGCCUCUCUAUGCCAGGGAGGCACUGAGAAUUCUGCUGAAUUGCUCAGGACUGCAACACGUGGAUACGGCUCUAAAGAACAAGUUUUUCUGGAGUCAUAUUUACCAGACAUAUUACUACCAUGAUGGGGUGAACCUCAUGGCCAGAACUCUCUGUGACUGUAACUUCCCACAAUUUCCAGAAACCUUACGUUAUCUCUACAAGAUCUUAGUGCAAGGCCCUAGGAGGUCAGAAGAGCAUAUCAUCAUAGUAACAUUCUUCAUCAAAAUUCUGGAUAAGUUCUUCAAGGACCCACUCCCAGAAUUAUUUUUGGUCUUCCUCAGAAACUGGAUCAGUGAUUCCAAUCCUGAAAUUAGCAAAUUAAGCCUUCAGAAAAUCACCAGCAUGGCCCCGGUUGUCAAUAAGAUAGAAAAUGUCUCCAGCUUAUUAACAUCCAUCCUGGAUGCCUUCGUAUCCAGAGAGGACACUGUUGUGAUUCAAGCCUUGCUCACCCUCCGAAAACUUGUAGACAAACUGGACAAGGUGACCUACUCCUCGCUGUGCACUAGAAUUGCUUCCAGCUACUUCUGUCUGAUGGAUCAUUUUUCUGGGAGUGUCCGGAGCUUGGCUAUCAGGCACUUGGCGGACUUACUCAAGGACGUGGGUCAGCAAACAUCAACUCUCAAACACAUCAUGAGAGGACUCGCACCCCUCCUUCUCUGUCUGGAGGACAGCGAUGGUAGAGUAGUGAGUAUCCUUUCUCACGAGAGUUGCACUACGUAUUUAAUAUGUGAUGCCUUACGGUUCCUGGGGAAUCCCCAGGUGCAUCUGAGGAGAGCAGCAGUUAUUUUACUAGGUUACUUGGCGCAAUUGGGUGGACAUUUAUUAUUCAAAGAUGAAAUUGAAGUUAUGACUGAAGCUGUUGAACGAAUGCUCCAGGAUGAAGGCCCUGGGAUCCAGAAGCUGGCAGAAAUAACCCACAACCUUUUAAAGAAAAUAGCCAAUAGACCAAGAUCUACAACUAUUAAACUUGCUAUCCAGAGAUUCUUUAAGUUCUCCGCCAAGGAACUGAAGCUUAUUUAUAAUUGGAAAAGUACCACACAGACAGACCUGUAAGCUUCCUCUCUCGAUAACCUACCUGCGUCGGUAGAUGCUUUUCUGAAAGAUGCUACAGGCUUUCACUGCCCCUUUUCAAUUCUCUAUUGAAAUGUAUAAAUCUGAAAACUCUACUGCCUCUGUGUGUCUGGCAGUGACUAGAAGUCAUUCCUCACUUCUAGUGGGGAAUAGGUUCCAGGUCCCCAACAGAUCUGAACCCGACGGCUGUUUAAGUCCCUUACACAAAAUGGCAUAGUAUUUGCACAUAAGCUACACAUAUCCUCCCACAUAUUUUAUAUUUUAGAUUACUUAUAAUGCCUGAUACAAUGUGCAUGCUGCAUAAAUAAUUGUUAUAUGAGAUUGUUUAGGAAGUAAUGACAAAAAAUGUGCAGAUUUAGUGCAGACACAGAUAUCCCAAUAUUUCCCAUUCAUGGUUGAUUGAAUCCGUGGAUGUGAAAUCCACAAAUAUGGCUUAUACCCCACUGUAUCAGCAUGGUUCGGGUGAGAGGCUCUUGGAAAUUGAUUGAGUGAGCAUGUGCCG
Molecule: long non-coding RNA, 3072 nt
Organism: Chinchilla lanigera (long-tailed chinchilla)
Lineage: Eukaryota; Metazoa; Chordata; Mammalia; Rodentia; Chinchillidae
Source: Ensembl